RNAcentral lists this ribosomal RNA (207 nucleotides) under uncultured bacterium. RNAcentral describes it as "partial 16S ribosomal RNA". It matches the Rfam family "Bacterial small subunit ribosomal RNA", at positions 568 to 774 of the family's 1533-position model. The record is from RNAcentral.
CGUGCAGGCGGUUUCGUAAGUCGGACGUGAAAGCUCCUGGCUCAACUGGGAGAGGUCGUUCGAUACUGCGGGACUUGAGGUUGGGAGAGGGACGUGGAAUUCCCGGUGUAGUGGUGGAAUGCGUAGAUAUCGGGAGGAACACCAGUGGCGAAGGCGGCGUCCUGGCCCACACCUGACGCUAAGACGCGAAAGCGUGGGUAGCGAACG